GAAAUACAGAGGGGAGGGGGGAGCAGACCUGCUCCCCCCUCCCCUCUGUAUUUCUUGUCAAAUAAGUUACUGCUCAUGAUCCCAGAGCACUCACACGCAGACCCUCUUACAGAGUGAACCUUGUCUUCUCCUGUGUUCUCUGUUAUUUGUGUUGAAGAAAUACUCAAAAAGCUUUUUUUCAUCGGAAGCUGCAGGUUGGUUCCUUGUUUUGUUUUUUCAUCAAGCUCUUGAUACAACGAAAGAUCACCACCGACUGACGGGAUGGGGUUUGGCGCACCAGGGUUCCCCACAUCUGCGAGCGGUGGCCCCCUUCGCCUUCUGUUCGACAGUUUUGGUCAAUACUGCCACAACUUCACUGAGGGGAAUAGCGGCUCAGGAAAUGGAGCUCAAUCUAACAAACCUAAAUCUGAAGAACAAGCAGCAAAAAGUGAAAAAAAAAGAGAUACAGAUUCAUCUGAAUUGGAAAGAGAAUUCGACGUGGGAGCCAGUGGAAUGUAUAAAGAUGUCGUCAAGAACAACAGGAAAUUCUCCAGGGGCCCAGGGAACCCUGGGCACAAGGGGGUAGUUGAAGCGGAUCACAUGCCACCCAAGGACUCCCUGAAGAAAGCUGCAAAAGAGCCUUUGAUUUGGAUAUUGGGAGAAAGCGAAAAAUAUGAGGGGCUUUUGAAAAUGUUGCAGACGAAGGAUCCAAAAGGGAGAAAUCUCUUCACCCUACAGGUCCUCACGGGCCAACACAGGACGGCUCUGACAACCGGCAACAGUAGAGAGUCUGUGGCCGUCAGAGCCGUCCUGUGUUGGCCCGUGAGGACCUGUAGGGUGAAGAGAUUUCUCCCUUUUGGAUCCUUCGUCUGCAACAUUUUCAAAAGCCCCUCAUAUUUUUCGCUUUCUCCCAAUAUCCAAAUCAAAGGCUCUUUUGCAGCUUUCUUCAGGGAGUCCUUGGGUGGCAUGUGAUCCGCUUCAACUACCCCCUUGUGCCCAGGGUUCCCUGGGCCCCUGGAGAAUUUCCUGUUGUUCU
Gadus morhua (Atlantic cod) is the source of this 1015-nucleotide long non-coding RNA. The record is from Ensembl. NCBI's taxonomy places the organism in Eukaryota, Metazoa, Chordata, Actinopteri, Gadiformes, Gadidae.